AUGUUCACUUCCUCAGCACAUGUACAAAAACUGGAAAAAUAAAGAGAUUAGCCUGGUCCCUGUGCAAGGAUGACAUGCAAAUUUGUGAAGUAUUUUGUAUUUAU
Aotus nancymaae (Ma's night monkey) is the source of this 104-nucleotide small nuclear RNA. Lineage: Eukaryota; Metazoa; Chordata; Mammalia; Primates; Aotidae. The record is from Ensembl.